GACGAACGCUGGCGGCGUGCUUAACACAUGCAAGUCGAACGGAAAGGCCCUGCUUUUGUGGGGUUCUCGAGUGGCGAACGGGUGCGUAACACGUGAGUAACCUGCCCUUGACUUUGGGAUAACUUCAGGAAACUGGGGCUAAUACCGGAUAGGAGCUCCUGCUGCAUGGUGGGGGUUGGAAAGUUUCGGCGGUUGGGGAUGGACUCGCGGCUUAUGAGCUUGUUGGUGGGGUAGUUGCUUACCAAGGCUUUGACGGGUAGCCGGCCUGUGAGGGUGAACGGGCACAUUGGGCCUGAGGUAGGGACCAGAGGGGUACGGGAGGCAGUAGGCGGGAAUAUGACACAACGGGAGGAAGUGUGAGGCAGCGACGUCGCGGGCGGGAUGCCGGCUUGCUGGGUGAAAACCGCUUUCGCCUGUGACGAAGCGGGAGUGACGGUAAUGGGUAAAGAAGCACCGGCUAACUACGUG
RNAcentral lists this ribosomal RNA (468 nucleotides) under uncultured bacterium. Its description in RNAcentral is "partial 16S ribosomal RNA". It matches the Rfam family "Bacterial small subunit ribosomal RNA", at positions 28 to 507 of the family's 1533-position model. The record is from RNAcentral.